This is a long non-coding RNA of Oncorhynchus tshawytscha (Chinook salmon), 330 nucleotides long. The record is from Ensembl. Lineage: Eukaryota; Metazoa; Chordata; Actinopteri; Salmoniformes; Salmonidae.
UGGACAACAUGUUUUAUUGAGAGUUGCAAAGAAAAGCCAUAUCUCAGACUGGCCAAUAAAAAGAAAAGAUUAAGACGGGCAAAAGAACACAGACACUGGACAGAGGAACUCUGCCUAGAAGGCCAGCAUCCCGGAGUCGCCUCUUCACUGUUGAUGUUGAGACUGGACAGAGGAACUCUGCCUAGAAGGCCAGCAUCCCAGAGUCGCCUCUUCACUGUUGACGUUGAGACUGGACAGAGGAACUCUGCCUAGAAGGCCAGCAUCCCGGAGCCAGCAUCUCACUGUUGACGUUGAGACUGGACAGAGGAACUCUGCCUAGGCCAGCAUCCC